This 496-nucleotide ribosomal RNA is filed under the name uncultured bacterium. RNAcentral's name for it is "partial 16S ribosomal RNA". It matches the Rfam family "Bacterial small subunit ribosomal RNA", at positions 29 to 507 of the family's 1533-position model. The record is from RNAcentral.
AUGCACGCUGGCGGCGUGCCUAAUACAUGCAAGUCGAGCGCACAGACGAGGAGCUUGCUCCUCUGACGUUAGCGGCGGACGGGUGAGUAACACGUGGAUAACCUACCUAUAAGACUGGGAUAACUUCGGGAAACCGGAGCUAAUACCGGAUAAUAUAUUGAACCGCAUGGUUCAAUAGUGAAAGACGGUUUUGCUGUCACUUAUAGAUGGAUCCGCGCCGCAUUAGCUAGUUGGUAAGGUAACGGCUUACCAAGGCGACGAUGCGUAGCCGACCUGAGAGGGUGAUCGGCCACACUGGAACUGAGACACGGUCCAGACUCCUACGGGAGGCAGCAGUAGGGAAUCUUCCGCAAUGGGCGAAAGCCUGACGGAGCAACGCCGCGUGAGUGAUGAAGGUCUUCGGAUCGUAAAACUCUGUUAUUAGGGAAGAACAAAUGUGUAAGUAACUAUGCACGUCUUGACGGUACCUAAUCAGAAAGCCACGGCUAACUACGUG